Long non-coding RNA from Trifolium pratense (red clover), 784 nucleotides. RefSeq lists it as uncharacterized. The record is from RefSeq and is a predicted model, not a curated record. The transcript is spliced from 4 exons. Lineage: Eukaryota; Viridiplantae; Streptophyta; Magnoliopsida; Fabales; Fabaceae.
AGGAUAUAUAUUAUCUUGCGACAUAAAUUAUUUCUGUCUCAAUCUCGUGACAGAAUUUAUAUUUCUGUCCCAAAUUUAAGAUGAAAAGGAUAGAACACGAGAUAAGUGAGAACCCUAAGUACCUCUCUCGCGCCGCCGUCACCUGAGUUCUAGAUCUGCAUCGCUCCUUUUUCCGCCUCAAGCUUCAUCCCACUCCUCCAUCUCUCCAUUCCUCCAUGUGUUGAUAAAUUUGUUGUUUCUUCUAGAUUUACUAGCAAUCUUCAACAAUUCUCGAUUUCAAUCUGUGUUUUGAUUUCUUCUACUUGUUUGAUUGUUUCUAUUCUUAGAUCUAACUGAUGUUUUGAUUUAUCAUCCUAGUCGUUCUCCUUCCGUGUCUCCGGCGUGUCUGCGACGUUGCUCCUUGCGUCUCAGCUUCCUAUUUCUGGCGGUGCUUUUCGUUCCUCCUGUUGCUGGCAAACCAAAAGAAGACGACAAUGAGUAGUAGGAUUUGUCUUUGGUGAUUAUGGCAAAACUUUCAGGACAUUUCACAAACCACAUGAUGAUUUUAUCAAAGGAAAUCUCACAAUCAACCAUUGUUCAUAUGUGAUUCCAUCAACUUGUCUACUAUUCUUAUAGAAGGAAGAACAUCAAGUUUUUCUUGGUUCAAGUAUAGUUUGUAUAGAUCUGUGCAAAAUAUUGUACUUUAUUUGUCUUGAAUUUUUAUGUAACAGUUCUUCCAUUGGUGUAAUUGUUGUUGGAUAUUGUUGUGGGUUUAAUUUAAUGAAAUAUAAAAGCUUUGCGUUUA